AUUGAACGCUGGCGGCAUGCCUUACACAUGCAAGUCGAACGGCAGCACGGGUGCUUGCACCUGGUGGCGAGUGGCGAACGGGUGAGUAAUACAUCGGAACGUACCUUAUCGUGGGGGAUAACGCAGCGAAAGUUGCGCUAAUACCGCAUACGCCCUGAGGGGGAAAGCGGGGGACCGUAAGGCCUCGCGCGAUUAGAGCGGCCGAUGUCUGAUUAGCUUGUUGGUGAGGUAAAAGCUCACCAAGGCGAUGAUCAGUAGCUGGUCUGAGAGGACGAUCAGCCACACUGGGACUGAGACACGGCCCAGACUCCUACGGGAGGCAGCAGUGGGGAAUUUUGGACAAUGGGGGCAACCCUGAUCCAGCAAUGCCGCGUGAGUGAAGAAGGCCUUCGGGUUGUAAAGCUCUUUUGUCAGGGAAGAAACAGCAGCUCUAACACAGACUGCGAAUGACGGUACCUGAAGAAUAAGCACCGGCUAACUACGUGCCAGCAGCCGCGGUAAUACGUAGGGUGCGAGCGUUAAUCGGAAUUACUGGGCGUAAAGCGUGCGCAGGCGGUUAUACAAGACAGGCGUGAAAUCCCCGGGCUUAACCUGGGAAUGGCGUCUGUGACUGUAUAGCUAGAGUGUGUCAGAGGGGGGUGGAAUUCCACGUGUAGCAGUGAAAUGCGUAGAUAUGUGGAGGAACACCAAUGGCGAAGGCAGCCCCCUGGGAUAAC
Molecule: ribosomal RNA, 716 nt
Filed under: Pseudomonadota bacterium
Lineage: Bacteria; Pseudomonadati; Pseudomonadota
Description: bacterial SSU rRNA
Rfam family: Bacterial small subunit ribosomal RNA
Source: RNAcentral